UGAAAAAGACCCAAAUAAAGAAAAGC
RNAcentral lists this non-coding RNA (26 nucleotides) under Cricetulus griseus (Chinese hamster). Lineage: Eukaryota; Metazoa; Chordata; Mammalia; Rodentia; Cricetidae. The record is from RNAcentral.